Molecule: long non-coding RNA, 1915 nt
Organism: Pan troglodytes (chimpanzee)
Lineage: Eukaryota; Metazoa; Chordata; Mammalia; Primates; Hominidae
Exons: 3
Source: RefSeq, a predicted model, not a curated record
UUUACCCUGGAGAGCAGAGGACAACGACGCAUGCGCGCGGGUUGUCCCACCCUUUGCGUUAGGGCGCGAGUGACGGAAACAGAUCCCUCUAUUUAUCAUUCACUCUGGAAGAAGCCAGCUGCCUGGUCAUAAGCAAUCCUAUGGAGAGGCCCAUGAAUUGAGAAACUGAGGCCUCUUGCCCAACAGCCACGUGAGUGAUCUCAGAAGUGGAUCCUCCCAGCCCAUUCAAGCCUUUGGAUGACUGCAGCCCCAACUGACAGUUUGACUGCAGACUCAUGACAGACUGAACCAGAACCACCCAACUAAGCUGUUCCCAGAUUUCUGAUCCUGGGAAAUUGUAUUGGUCAUCAUGAUCACCAAACAGCCUUGUCUAAUGUUGGCAUUCUGUGAAAUUACUUGUGUUCAACAGAAGUACAUCAUGGCCUCACUGCGAAGCCCAGCCAGCUCCUGGAUGUCAGAGACUGCUUUCCAAUUUCUCAGAUGUAGCGCAAGAUAGUGAUUCACUGGCAGACAAGAAAUCUAUAUCUCUAAUAAGAUACCUAUGUGAUUCUGAUUGAAGAAAUCUAAGACCAUGCUUUAAUAACUAUUCCUAUGGUAAGAAGUAGGGCUGAAAAUGGAGGAGCAGAUUGUAAAGAUCCUUAAAACACAGACUAAUAGGUUUGAACGUAAUUCUGCCAGCAAUAACAACAAUUAAUAGCAUAUGAGCAAAGAAGAACCUUCCCAAGUAGGGUUCAGAAAGAGUUUCCUGCUAGUAACAAAUAGAAAGGUUAGGUACUGUCUAAGAAUGGGGGCGAGCCUGGGGACAAGGAGGGAGAAUAGAAGCAGAUAAACCACCAGCUAGGAAACUCCUGCAAGGGACCAGGCCUGACAAGACAAGGAGUUAGAUUAAAACAUUGCCAGUGGGCAUGGAAAGAAAGUAUUGAAUGUGAAAGACAUUAAGUAAGAAUCUGAAAUCCAUUCAAGGGCAGGGAUUUGCGUUGAUAAAUUCUUAGCUCCCAGCCCUGUGCUUGGGGACAAAAUGAGCAUCCAAUAAAUAUUUAAGAGCUAAAUCAAUUAACCAACUAAUUGGAUUAUGUAACUGAGAUGAUGUGGGGGAAGAGGAAGAAGGAAAAAUCAGGAGUGAUUUAGGGAGAGUUAGGAAGGGAAAAUUAUUUCAGAAAAAGGAGCAUCCACUUUAGUCAAGUUUAAUCUCUGUAAUGGUGAAAUAUUCUAGCCAGAAGUUACUGAUGUGGGUUUGGAAUUUGAAUUUAAGAGAGAGGUUAAGGGGUCAGGCGCAGUGGCUCAUGCCUGUGAUCCCAGCACUUUGGGAGGCUGAGGCGAGCAGAUCACUUGAGGUUGGGAGUUUGAGACCAGUCUGGCCAACAUGGUGAAACCCUGUCUCUACUAAAAAUACAAAAAUUAGCCGGAAUGGUGGCGUGCUACUCGAGAAGCUGAGGCAUGAGAAUCGCUUGAACUCAGGAGGCAGAGGUUGCAGUGAGCCGAGAUCAUGCCAUUGCACUCCAGCCUGGGUGACAGUGAGACUCUGUCUCAAAAAAAAAAGAGAGAGAGAGAGGCUAAGGUAGGGGUUGCAGGAUGAAUAAGUGGGUAGAUUGAAGUCAUUGGAGCACGUGGAAUUUUCAAGAGUGGGUAGGUGAAGAAAGAAUGGAAGACAGGGUCAGCCUCCCGCUGAUUUGCCAUGGCAGUUCUUGUUUUCUACUUUAGAAGAUGAGUUGACAUCAGGGGAAAUAAAUUAUGACUAUUUCAGGAAUACAACGUACGUCUUCUGAGAUGGUUUCUGGAGUCAUCAGACAGGGUUUCCAAGACACCUCUGUCCCACUCAAGCUGUGACUUUUCCUGUGUUUAACCUAAGUUGAAAUUUUCUCAUCUGUAAAAAGCUGGUGAUAAAUGUAAAGCAAGCUCUUAAAGAUAGGCCCAG